GCAGAUCACUUUAUUCAAAGGGAGCUUCAGAAACUAUAGAUUUUAUUACAACAUCUGUGGAGAUGGCAUAGAAGCUUAAAACAAAAUGAAAUUCUUCUUGGUGAUCGACUAUAUCCCAUAAUCAUAGUAUGAAGGUAAUCUUCUUAUCAUCUUCCUCUUCACAUCAGAACAGAAUUCAAAAAAAUAUCAACGAUUCAAGCACAGAGUUGCAAUCUGCAGCUGGAGUAUGUCAAAUAGCUUCUCUUUCAGCAACUAGAUUCUCCUAAGAAUUGAUGAGCCGUUCCAUAACCAAUUUGAGAACUCUAGGAGCAUCAACAGUUACUGCCACUUUUACCGAGGGUUUAUCAGACCAUUCACUGACUUCACCAAACCUCUUUUGUUUGUUAUAAAAUAGAGUCAGACCCCUUGUGAUGCCAUUUGUUUGGACACGAACCACACCUUCUGUAUAGGUGAUUAGUGAGGGAUCAACAGCAGCAAGCAGAGCAGUUGGAUCAUGAAGGUAAACACCUUUUGUGCUGUAUGCCUCGUGGUGAUAGCCAAAAUAGACACCCAAGAUCUUGUCAAGGUACUUGGCAUACUUUCCGUUAGACUUUGCCAACUCGUCUCGAUCAAAAUCAGUAAGGACAACUUGAUGUGUAACAUUUAUUCCAACUGCUAGAACAUCAGCACCGCUAGUAAAUACAAUAUCAGCAGCAUCUGGAUCUCCAAAGAUAUUCGCCUCAGCAGCUGGAUUGACAUUUCCGUUUACAGAAAAGGCACCACCAAGAACAACAAUUUGUCCAAUGUUUUUAACAAAAUCAGGAUCUGAUUGAAUGGCUAGUGCUAUAUUUGUCAAGGGACCCAAAGCUACAACAGUAAUCUUUCCGGGGUAUAGACUGGCUUGUUGAACAAGAAAGUCAGCAGCAUUCUGUUCAAUAGGUUUUCCAUUUGGUGCAGGAAAGUUUUGGUUUCCAAGUCCAUCCGUGCCAUGAACAAAAUCAGCAAUUCGAAGUUUUGUACCUUUAGUGAUUGUAACAUGAGAGCCUUCAGCCACCGGAAUAUCUGUCCUCCCAGCUAUAUCCAACAGAUGUAAAGCAUUUCUGGUAGCUAGAGUUGUGUAGACAUUUCCAUAUAUCGUUGUAAGCCCGAUCACCUCAACUUCAGGAGAUUCCAAUGCCACAAAUAUCGCCAUUGCAUCAUCAAUUCCAGGAUCAGUGUCAAUGAUGAUCUUCUUGGGUUCUGUAGCCAUUUUGUGAAUCUGAAUUGGAAGUUGAAUGGAUCUGGGAUCGGGAUGAUGAUGAUUGAUGAAUGAAGAGGAAAGUGGAAACUUUU
RNAcentral lists this unclassified non-coding RNA (1311 nucleotides) under Hevea brasiliensis (rubber tree). The record is from RNAcentral. Lineage: Eukaryota; Viridiplantae; Streptophyta; Magnoliopsida; Malpighiales; Euphorbiaceae.